GAUGAACGCUGGCGGCGUGCCUAAUACAUGCAAGUCGAACGAGAUAAUUUAUUAUCUAGUGGCGAACGGGUGAGUAAUACAUAAGUAACCUGCCCUAGACAGGGGGAGUAACUAUUGGAAACGAUAGCUAAGACCGCAUAGGUAUAUAUGUCACAUGGCAAAUAAUAUUAAAAAUAGCUUCAAAGCAUUGGUAGAGGAUGGACUUAUGGCGCAUUAGCUAGUUGGUGAGGUAACGGCCCACCAAGGCGACGAUGCGUAGCCGACCUGAGAGGGUGAACGGCCACACUGGGACUGAGACACGGCCCA
Molecule: ribosomal RNA, 306 nt
Filed under: uncultured bacterium
Lineage: Bacteria
Description: bacterial SSU rRNA
Rfam family: Bacterial small subunit ribosomal RNA
Source: RNAcentral